Cyprinus carpio carpio is the source of this 1464-nucleotide long non-coding RNA. NCBI's taxonomy places the organism in Eukaryota, Metazoa, Chordata, Actinopteri, Cypriniformes, Cyprinidae. The record is from Ensembl.
CACAGUUACCACGAGCAGCAGCGUUUGGUGUUUGCUGCUUGAAGCAGUUGGAAAACUUUGACUUUAAGCACUUUUGGUUAUUUAUACAGUGCUAUAUUUAACUUCACACGGUGGAAGACGCCGUCAGAGGAAGUAUUUCAGAGGUAAGCGUGCCCACAGAGGUAUCGGUCUCUCAGGAUGGCUGACCGAGGGACCCCCCAGCCUGCCCGUUCAUCUUCCAGCAUGUCCAUGCAGUCCGAUUCAGGGAAAGGUCACUCCAAGAGCAAACUCAUUUCCUCCACACCGGUCCCCAGUGAAGUCUCUCUAGAAGUGCCAGAGGUUGCAGUUGAGAAAGAGAAGCCUGUCUCAAAGGUGGAUGUUUCAGCAGAGGAAGCAGAUUCCUACACGGAACGGCUGGUCUUGUUUGGGCCCCGUUCACGUCUUAGACCUCAUCAUCGAUCACACAGAUCGGAGGAUGGCAUCAAGCUCAUGCAUACGCAUGAUGAGGUUUUUGGCUUAAACAAGAUAGAUAACCUCUGGUCUCAAAUGAUGGCUGAUGCAAAUAGCACGGGAGGAAGAAAUGACUGAGAAAGUGAGGGGCGAGUGGGCAGAGCCAGUCAGCGAACUUGCAGCAUCUCUGUCCUUUCAUCAAUGAGGUUAAUAGAAUUAAUUACAGCCCUCUGGCUGGAAAAAGGCAAUGGCAUUUACAUGCAGUGGCUCAGUGUGCCCGCCCCUGCUGGGAGAUCCUGUAGAAAAAGCAGCUGGUGAGCUGGUUGUAAUGACAUUUGUUAUAGUAAUGCACAUUCACUGACAUUAGCCCUUUAGACAAAUAUCAGUAUGUUUAUGGUAGUUAUGUAGUGCUUUUAGCACAGAGAUAAGAUUAAUUAUUAAUGUGAUGUGUUAUGCCACGCAACUUCUGAGAGGAUGAUGGAGGUUUUGAUGGGAGUUUUUCAUUCAGUUUGACAUGCAAAAUACUGUCUCACCAUAUAAUUUGAUGUUACGCCUUAUCAUGUUUCAUCCAGUUUUGCCAGUCUGUUAAUUCAUGUCAGCUCAUACUCUCAUUGCAUAUGCCCUGCCACAUGAUAACAGUGUACCAGUGACAAAAAAAAGUAGUUGCUACAAUGUUACUGUGUCACGCCAUCUAAAAAAAAGAAUGAUAAUCCUGAAAAUCCUGAAGGAUCAUGUGACACUGAAGACUGGAGUAAUAGCUGCUGAAAAUUCAGCUUCGCCACCACAGGAAAUUAAAAUUACAUUUUAAAAUAUAUUCAAAUAUAAUUUUUUCAAAUAAUAUUUCAUAAUAUUAUUGUUUUACAAUAUCACUUUUUUCUCAAAUAAAUGGAUUCUUGGUGAGUGUAAGAAUCUAAAAAAAAAAAAACAUUUAAAAAAUCUUACUGACCCCAAUCUUUUGAACAAUUGUUUAAACAAAAUAAUAUUUUUAAAAAAUACUUAGAUUGGUUGUAAUUAACUUAUCCUUUUUUCCUCCAG